This 253-nucleotide ribosomal RNA is filed under the name uncultured bacterium. Its description in RNAcentral is "partial 16S ribosomal RNA". It matches the Rfam family "Bacterial small subunit ribosomal RNA", at positions 524 to 776 of the family's 1533-position model. The record is from RNAcentral.
UACGUAGGGACCAAGCGUUGUUCGGAUUCAUUGGGCGUAAAGGGUGUGUAGGUGGCGCCGUAAGUCGGGUGUGAAAUUUCGAGGCUUAACCUCGAAACUGCAUUCGAUACUGCGGUGCUUGAGGACUGGAGAGGAGACUGGAAUUCAUGGUGUAGCAGUGAAAUGCGUAGAUAUCAUGAGGAAGACCAGUGGCGAAGGCGGGUCUCUGGACAGUUCCUGACACUGAGACACGAAGGCCAGGGGAGCAAACGGG